Molecule: ribosomal RNA, 226 nt
Filed under: uncultured bacterium
Lineage: Bacteria
Description: partial 16S ribosomal RNA
Rfam family: Bacterial small subunit ribosomal RNA
Source: RNAcentral
UACGUAGGGUCCGAGCGUUUGUCCGGAAUUACGUGGCGUAAAGAGCUCGUAGGUGGUUUGUCGCGUUGUUCGUGAAAACUCAACAGCUCAACUGUGGGCGUGCGGGCGAUACGGGGCAGACUAGAGUACUGGCAGGGGAGACUGGAAUUCCUGGUGUAGCGGUGGAAUGCGCAGAGUAUCAGGAGGAACACCGGUGGGCGAAGGCGGUCUCUGGGCCUACCUGACA